This is a long non-coding RNA of Salvelinus sp. IW2-2015, 514 nucleotides long. RefSeq lists it as uncharacterized. The record is from RefSeq and is a predicted model, not a curated record. Lineage: Eukaryota; Metazoa; Chordata; Actinopteri; Salmoniformes; Salmonidae.
UGCACAAACUGUUCCCACCUGUUUUGGCUGGGAAUCAUGCGGACGCCUUGCAUCUGGGCUCCAGUUCUGCAACAUAAUUGGUUCAGUGCACUUCUCUUAAGAAUCUCAUACCACGUAUCAUUGUUAAGCUGUGUUUUUUUCACCCCAGGGAGUGUCUCGUGUGAAGAGCAGCAGUGAUGUGGUGGGGGCGGUUCUAAAGGAGCUGAGGCUACAGGCUGGGGGGACAGAGGGGGGCUUCAGGCUGGCUGUGGCUGUUGAUGGAGUCAACGGUCUCUGGGGAAGGACCACGCUCAAGAAGGAGGACAAGAGCCCUGUGGCUCCAGAGGAGUUGACGUUGGUUCAUAACUUGAGGAAGAUGAUCAACAAUGACUGGUGUGGAGGGGCGGUCAUCGCCACUCUGUCUCAGACAGGGUCUCUCUACGCUCCAAGCUCUGCCUACCUGCCCCAGGAGCUGCUGGGAGAGGUCAGGGGUCAUGAUUACAUCCUGGUUAAUGUUGUUGUAUGUCCAGUCCAA